AGAGUUUUACAGUGCGCCGCAGAAAGUUACGCGAACAAAGCACGUAGACUGCCAAUCAUCAAGGUGGUGAGGAUUAAGGAUGGUAUAUUUUUCGCGUGGAACGAUGGCGAAAAGUUGCAGGAGAUAUGAUUCCGAACAAUUCUUCGGAGCACUCUCCGUGAUACAACUGAUAGACGAUGCAGAGUGAAGCCACAUCUCAGCGUGAUUCCAAGGGUUCCAAGCUAUUUGA
This is a long non-coding RNA of Aricia agestis (brown argus), 229 nucleotides long. RefSeq lists it as uncharacterized. Lineage: Eukaryota; Metazoa; Arthropoda; Insecta; Lepidoptera; Lycaenidae. The record is from RefSeq and is a predicted model, not a curated record. The transcript has 3 exons.